AACGCUAGCUACAGGCUUAACACAUGCAAGUCGAGGGGCAGCAUGGUCUUAGCUUGCUAAGGCCGAUGGCGACCGGCGCACGGGUGAGUAACACGUAUCCAACCUGCCGUCUACUCUUGGACAGCCUUCUGAAAGGAAGAUUAAUACAAGAUGGCAUCAUGAGUCCGCAUGUUCACAUGAUUAAAGGUAUUCCGGUAGACGAUGGGGAUGCGUUCCAUUAGAUAGUAGGCGGGGUAACGGCCCACCUAGUCUUCGAUGGAUAGGGGUUCUGAGAGGAAGGUCCCCCACAUUGGAACUGAGACACGGUCCAAACUCCUACGGGAGGCAGCAGUGAGGAAUAUUGGUCAAUGGGCGAGAGCCUGAACCAGCCAAGUAGCGUGAAGGAUGACUGCCCUAUGGGUUGUAAACUUCUUUUAUAAAGGAAUAAAGUCGGGUAUGCAUACCCGUUUGCAUGUACUUUAUGAAUAAGGAUCGGCUAACUCCGUGCCAGCAGCCGCGGUAAUACGGAGGAUCCGAGCGUUAUCCGGAUUUAUUGGGUUUAAAGGGAGCGUAGAUGGAUGUUUAAGUCAGUUGUGAAAGUUUGCGGCUCAACCGUAAAAUUGCAGUUGAUACUGGAUAUCUUGAGUGCAGUUGAGGCAGGCGGAAUUCGUGGUGUAGCGGUGAAAUGCUUAGAUAUCACGAAGAACUCCGAUUGCGAAGGCAGCCUGCUAAGCUGCAACUGACAUUGAGGCUCGAAAGUGUGGGUAUCAAACAGGAUUAGAUACCCUGGUAGUCCACACGGUAAACGAUGAAUACUCGCUGUUUGCGAUAUACGGCAAGCGGCCAAGCGAAAGCGUUAAGUAUUCCACCUGGGGAGUACGCCGGCAACGGUGAAACUCAAAGGAAUUGACGGGGGCCCGCACAAGCGGAGGAACAUGUGGUUUAAUUCGAUGAUACGCGAGGAACCUUACCCGGGCUUAAAUUGCAGAUGAAUUACGGUGAAAGCCGUAAGCCGCAAGGCAUCUGUGAAGGUGCUGCAUGGUUGUCGUCAGCUCGUGCCGUGAGGUGUCGGCUUAAGUGCCAUAACGAGCGCAACCCUUGUUGUCAGUUACUAACAGGUUCCGCUGAGGACUCUGACAAGACUGCCAUCGUAAGAUGUGAGGAAGGUGGGGAUGACGUCAAAUCAGCACGGCCCUUACGUCCGGGGCUGCACACGUGUUACAAUGGGGGGUACAGAGGGCCGCUACCACGCGAGUGGAUGCCAAUCCCCAAAACCUCUCUCAGUUCGGACUGGAGUCUGCAACCCGACUCCACGAAGCUGGAUUCGCUAGUAAUCGCGCAUCAGCCACGGCGCGGUGAAUACGUUCCCGGGCCUUGUACACACCGCCCGUCAAGCCAUGGGAGCCGGGGGUACCUGAAGUGCGUAACCGCGAGGAGCGCCCUAGGGUAAAACUGGUGACUGGGG
This 1444-nucleotide ribosomal RNA is filed under the name uncultured organism. RNAcentral describes it as "SSU rRNA". It matches the Rfam family "Bacterial small subunit ribosomal RNA". The record is from RNAcentral.